Molecule: transfer RNA, 65 nt
Filed under: Hemiarthrum setulosum
Lineage: Eukaryota; Metazoa; Mollusca; Polyplacophora; Chitonida; Hemiarthridae
Description: tRNA-Asn
Source: RNAcentral
UGAAUAAAAGCUCUGGUGCAGCACCCGACUGUUACUCGGGGGGGAUAAAUAUAUUAUUUAUUCGA